Long non-coding RNA from Syngnathus typhle (broad-nosed pipefish), 713 nucleotides. RefSeq lists it as uncharacterized. The transcript has 3 exons. Lineage: Eukaryota; Metazoa; Chordata; Actinopteri; Syngnathiformes; Syngnathidae. The record is from RefSeq and is a predicted model, not a curated record.
UCAGGUCAGAGAGAGUCAGGAAGGCUGAGUCCCUCUUCAGCAGCAGUCUGAAGAGAAGCCAUGCUACAGAGCAAAUCCGCAUGUUUCCCUCAAUGAAGGAAAGAUGACGAGCAACAAACCGGUCCACACGAAUGGGUAGGCUUUAAACUUGAAAAGGCCUUUUUUUUAUGUUUUUGAACUCUGCUUCAACAGCUGCGGAACUUGUAGUGAUGCUGGUGCUUUUGAAGAGAGGGACCAUUAUUGCUGUCCAGGGUGCCAAGUAACUUACAAGUCUUGUUAUGUGGGGAAUAAUCUCAGGGAGGAAGUGGAUGUUGUCUCGAUCCCCAUCAGCCAUGGCAAUACCAUCGGCAGAUCAUCUUAAUACAGUGUGCGACAUCUACCCUGACAAAACAUGGGGGUAGAUGUGCAGGUUGAUUCCCACGUGAAAUAUUAAAGCUCUUCAGAUCAGGAUGAGGGGUAAAAGCUUUGACUAGAGCUCCAAGAAUCGCCAGAGAAAAGUCACUCACUGCUUCUUUGGGAACAGAUGCACCUGCAUGGGUCCAUUCUUUCAGCCACUGUGUGAUAGCAUUAACAUCAUGCUUCUCUGACAGCCUCUGCACGACUGGGAUACUGGAGCUGGUAUGCCCUGUCAUAACACCCUGAUACAGGAAGAUAUGGCCAGACAUGCCAUUCGGUCUCAUCAGUUUUUUAACUAUUGAGCCAGUUGCAUCAAU